CCUACGGGUGGCAGCAGUGAGGAAUAUUGGUCAAUGGACGAGAGUCUGAACCAGCCAAGUAGCGUGAAGGAUGACUGCCCUAUGGGUUGUAAACUUCUUUUAUAAAGGAAUAAAACGAGGCACGUGUGCCUUUUUGUAUGUACCAUAUGAAUAAGCAUCGGCUAACUCCGUGCCAGCAGCCGCGGUAAUACGGAGGAUGCGAGCGUUAUCCGGAUUUAUUGGGUUUAAAGGGUGCGUAGGUGGGUAAUUAAGUCAGCGGUGAAAGUUUGUGGCUCAACCAUAAAAUUGCCGUUGAAACUGGUUGACUUGAGUAUAUUAGAGGUAGGCGGAAUGCGUGGUGUAGCGGUGAAAUGCAUAGAUAUCACGAAGAACUCCGAUUGCGAAGGCAGCUUACUAAACUAUAACUGACACUGAAGCACGAAAGCGUGGGGAUCAAACAGGAUUAGAUACCCUAGUAGUC
RNAcentral lists this ribosomal RNA (460 nucleotides) under uncultured bacterium. RNAcentral describes it as "partial 16S ribosomal RNA". It matches the Rfam family "Bacterial small subunit ribosomal RNA", at positions 338 to 795 of the family's 1533-position model. The record is from RNAcentral.